RNAcentral lists this ribosomal RNA (413 nucleotides) under uncultured bacterium. RNAcentral's name for it is "bacterial SSU rRNA". It matches the Rfam family "Bacterial small subunit ribosomal RNA", at positions 979 to 1392 of the family's 1533-position model. The record is from RNAcentral.
UCUUGACAUCUUGCGCUAACCUCAGAGAUAAGGCGUUCCCUUCGGGGACGCAAAGACAGGUGGUGCAUGGUCGUCGUCAGCUCGUGUCGUGAGAUGUUGGGUUAAGUCCCGCAACGAGCGCAACCCUUGUUACUAGUUGCCAGCAUUCAGUUGGGCACUCUAGUGAGACUGCCGGUGACAAACCGGAGGAAGGUGGGGACGACGUCCAGAUCAUCAUGCCCCUUAUGACCUGGGCUACACACGUGCUACAAUGGCCGGUACAACGAGCAGCUAACCCGCGAGGGUGUGCAAAUCUCUUAAAGCCGGUCUCAGUUCGGACUGCAGUCUGCAACUCGACUGCACGAAAUCGGAAUCGCUAGUAAUCGCGGAUCAGCAUGCCGCGGUGAAUACGUUCCCGGGCCUUGUACACACCG